Molecule: ribosomal RNA, 468 nt
Filed under: uncultured bacterium
Lineage: Bacteria
Description: partial 16S ribosomal RNA
Rfam family: Bacterial small subunit ribosomal RNA
Source: RNAcentral
GACGAACGCUGGCGGCGUGCUUAACACAUGCAAGUCGAACGGGAAGGCCCUGCUUUUGUGGGGUGCUCGAGUGGCGAACGGGUGAGUAACACGUGAGUAACCUGCCCUUGACUUUGGGAUAACUUCAGGAAACUGGGGCUAAUACCGGAUAGGAGCUCCUGCUGCAUGGUGGGGUUGGGAAAGUUUCGGCGGUUGGGGAUGGACUGGCGGCUUAUCAGCUUGUUGGUGGGGUAGUGGCUUACCAAGGCUUUGACGGGUAGCCGGCCUGAGAGGGUGACCGGCCACAUUGGGACUGAGAUACGGCCCAGACUCCUACGGGAGGCAGCAGUGGGGAAUAUUGCACAAUGGGCGGAAGCCUGAUGCAGCAACGCCGCGUGCGGGAUGACGGCCUUCGGGUUGUAAACCGCUUUCGCCUGUGACGAAGCGUGAGUGACGGUAAUGGGUAAAGAAGCACCGGCUAACUACGUG